GCAGAAAAUAAUCUACACCAACCCAUAAUUAUUCUUUACGAUGAUCCACCUUUUAUAAUGUAGAUGUUUAAAAUAAAAACCAAAGGAAUGACCAAUGAGAGCCACAGUCCCUAGGAAGAACUGUAAAUGAAGACGAAUCCACAUGGCACAGGAUUUCUCCCAACAUCCUCAAACGGGAAUCAUCCGAAGGCAUCGAUUCUACAGCCCAAAGCCUUUGUCCACAACUCCCAGGGGUCAGAGCUUCCUUCUUUCGCGCCAGGCCAAAGUUGCUACGUGGGAUCCGAUGUUGUCGCCAGACUUUCAGCCAAAAUCAGCCUUCAAAUUAACCUGGACCGCCCAACCUCCGUGCCUUUCCGUUACGCCGUCUCAAGGGCAAACAUUCCACCCUAACUCGCCAGAGGGUGAACUGCCCCCAGAUCUAACUGAAAACACUUGCCCUUCUCAAGCCUAACGAGCUGGGCCUGCAGCGCUUUUCUGCCACCACUGACUACGAUGACAUAGCAAAGAAAAAAAUAUACCUAUGAAAUCCUUCGAGAUCUUCACUCUCAAGAUCCCUGGGAAGCGCACAUACACCACCACAUGGAAGCUGACGGGAAAGGAAGAGUCGGUGUUUUAGCAAGAAAAGAGGGUGCCCUAACGGCAGGAGCUACGCUAGAUACUGGCGCGGCCGCCGGUCCCGCCUUUCCCCGUUCUUCCGGCUUGGUCGCCC
Molecule: long non-coding RNA, 709 nt
Filed under: Homo sapiens (human)
Lineage: Eukaryota; Metazoa; Chordata; Mammalia; Primates; Hominidae
Description: RBM12B antisense RNA 1 (RBM12B-AS1)
Source: RNAcentral